AACGAACGCUGGCGGCAUGCCUAACACAUGCAAGUCGAACGAUAACGUCGGGUCUAGUGGCGCACGGGAGCGUAAGGCGUGGGAACCGUCACUUAGGGUGGGAAUACCUCUCCGCAAGGGGCGCUAAUACCGGAUAAAUUCUUCUGCCUCAAGAUAUCUCUCCUUAGGAUGGGUCCGCGUUGGAUUAGCUAGUUCGUAAGGUAAAGGUCUACCAAGGCUAUGAUCCAUAGUUGGUCUGGGAGGAGGAUCCACAACACUGGGACUGGGACACGGCCCGGACUCCUACGGGAGGACGCAAGUGGGAAUAUUGGACAAUGGGCGAAAGCAUGAUCCAGCAAUGCCGCGUGAGUGAUGAAGUACUGAGGGUUGUAAAGCUCUUUUACCCGGGAUGAAAAUGACGGUACCGGGAGAAUAAGCGCCGGCUAACUACGUG
RNAcentral lists this ribosomal RNA (433 nucleotides) under uncultured bacterium. Its description in RNAcentral is "partial 16S ribosomal RNA". It matches the Rfam family "Bacterial small subunit ribosomal RNA", at positions 29 to 507 of the family's 1533-position model. The record is from RNAcentral.